AAAUAAAAAAUUUUAUGAUUUAGAAAAUUUAUUUAAAGUUUAUUUUACAUAUAAAUUUUAGUGUUAAUUAUUAUUUUAAUAAUAAGUAAUAAGAUAUUUUGUAGUAAUUAAUAUUAAAAAUUUAAGAAAUUAAGAUUUAGUAAUAUUAAAAUUAAUAACAAAUUUUGUGCCAGCAGUUGCGGUUAUACAAAAAUUAAAUUAAAUUUUUUUAGUAAUUAAUUAAUAAUUUAUAUUUAUAUUUUAAAUUUUAGAUUAUUAGGUGAAAUUUUAAUUUAAUUAAAAUUUAUUAUAAUUUUAUGAUUUAAUAAAUUUUAUAAAAGACUAGGAUUAGAUACCCUAUUAUUAAAUUUUAAAUUUAUUAUACUAAAAUAGUAGAUAAUGUUUAUUGAAACUUAAAUAAUUUGGCGGUAUUUUAGUUUAUUUAGAGGAAUCUGUUUAAUAAUUGAUAGUCCACGAAUAAAUUUACUUAAUUUUUAAUUUUGUAUAUCGUUGUUAUAAAAAUAUUUUUUUAUAAAAAUAAUAUUUAAAAAUUUUUAAUUAAAAUUAAAUCAAAUCAAGAUGCAGAUUAUAAUUAAGAAUAUAAUGGAUUACAAUAAUUUUUAUUUAAAUGAAUAUUAAUUUUAACAAUUAAUUGAAGGUGGAUUUAAAUGUAAUUUUAUUUAGAUUAAUAAAAUGAUUUAAUAUUGAAAUAUGUACAUAUUGCCCGUCGCUUUCAUAUAUUUAUAAAAUGGGAUAAGUCGUAACAAAGUAGGGGUACUGGAAAGUGUUCCUAGAAAGUU
RNAcentral lists this non-coding RNA (779 nucleotides) under Thaumetopoea solitaria. Lineage: Eukaryota; Metazoa; Arthropoda; Insecta; Lepidoptera; Notodontidae. The record is from RNAcentral.